UCCAGAUCUUGCAUUAUGGUUCCGAUGCAGUAAUUAUGCGGGCUCUCUUUGUAAAAGACCCUAAUAUCUAUACUCUGCUUGCACACACUCGAUGAGAAGUGACCUAUUUAACAUAUAACAAGCGAUCUGAGCUAAGGAGAUAGUUUGAGGUUUUUAAAAAGACUCACCAUAAGAAAAAAUAUCAGCCUCAAUGUGUAGAAUUCACACAUGCAUGACCAGAAAACAGGCUUCAAUCUCCAUGACUUGUUCCAACACACAGGCAGAGUCCAGCAUGGGUCCCGGAAGCGAAUAUGACCACAUCCUAGCACAAGUGAGAAGAUAAUAAAACUCAUACCAAUACGACGACCACGUUCUUCAUGGAUCAUUCCGGCCAGGGUAAAUAGGCCGAAAACCAGGAGGGAAAAGACGACGGUCAGCGCCUCCAGGUCUCCCAACACGGACGCCAUCGUCAUCCAACACGGUGCUGUCUACUCAGUGGGCUCUGCUGGCCAUUUGUGUCCACGUCGCUUCCUUUUUUUUUUUUAAAACCAUUUUAGGCGUGUUCAAGCA
Phycodurus eques (leafy seadragon) is the source of this 549-nucleotide long non-coding RNA. RefSeq lists it as uncharacterized. Lineage: Eukaryota; Metazoa; Chordata; Actinopteri; Syngnathiformes; Syngnathidae. The record is from RefSeq and is a predicted model, not a curated record. The transcript is spliced from 3 exons.